RNAcentral lists this non-coding RNA (26 nucleotides) under Homo sapiens (human). The record is from RNAcentral. Lineage: Eukaryota; Metazoa; Chordata; Mammalia; Primates; Hominidae.
UGAACCAAGGAACUGCCCGAAUGUGC